CCUACGGGCGGCAGCAGUGGGGAAUAUUGCACAAUGGGGGAAACCCUGAUGCAGCGACGCCGCGUGAGUGAAGAAGUAUUUCGGUAUGUAAAGCUCUAUCAGCCGGGAAGAAAUAGCGACCUUUGGGUCGCCAGACGGUACCUGACUAAGAAGCCCCGGCUAACUACGUGCUAGGAGCCGCGGUAAUACGUAGGGGGCAAGCGUUAUCCGGGUUUACUGGGUGUAAAGGGAGCGUAGACGGCAGCACAAGUCUGAAGUGAAAUGCCGGGGCUUAACCCCGGACCUGCUUUGGAAACUGUGCAGCUAGAGUGCAGGAGAGGUAAGUGGAAUUCCUAGUGUAGCGGUGAAAUGCGUAGAUAUUAGGAGGAACACCAGUGGCGAAGGCGGCUUACUGGACUGUAACUGACGUUGAGGCUCGAAAGCGUGGGGAGCAAACAGGAUUAGAUACCCGGGUAGUC
This 458-nucleotide ribosomal RNA is filed under the name uncultured bacterium. RNAcentral describes it as "partial 16S ribosomal RNA". It matches the Rfam family "Bacterial small subunit ribosomal RNA", at positions 338 to 795 of the family's 1533-position model. The record is from RNAcentral.